Long non-coding RNA from Erinaceus europaeus (western European hedgehog), 1337 nucleotides. RefSeq lists it as uncharacterized. Lineage: Eukaryota; Metazoa; Chordata; Mammalia; Eulipotyphla; Erinaceidae. The record is from RefSeq and is a predicted model, not a curated record. The transcript is spliced from 3 exons.
CUCCAGAUCUGAUUACACAACCUCUGAAGAGCAAACCAUGCCGCUGACUACAAAGCAGAGCAAGAAGCAUGGCGCUGCCUCCCCUGGGCUCGCGUCCAUCUGUCAGUAAUCAUCAGCACACCGGGCGCGCACGCCAGCUGCCCGCCCUGGGGACCCCCUUUCUGCAGGAGCUCGAUCUUCCCGCCGCCGCCCAGGAGCUGGGGACUGGCUUUAGCCCCUAGUCACAGGUCACAGGUUCGAGAAUUUGAAGAAAGUUACAUAUUUUUCUAAAGAAAAACCAAUUUAACCUGUUUCUUUUUGAUGAUCUGAUAGACGGUGAGACAGACGAGACACCUGCAGCAUUACUCCACUGCUUGUGAAACUUUUUCAAGAAGUCCGAGUUCUUCAAAGCAUAGCAUGAGAAUCGCAAAGAUCUGGGGGCCAAGUGGUGUUGCUCUCAGUUGAGAGUAUGUUACCGUGCGCAAGGACCCAGGUUCAUGCUCCUAGUUCUCAACUGCAGUUGUUUCACAAGCGAAGCAGUAUUACAGAUGUCUUCUUCUCUUCCCUUCACUAUCUCCCCCUUCCACCUGUUUCUGUUCCUAUCCAACAAUUAAAAAAAAAAACUGUUGUAAUGCAGUGCUUAAAAAAUUGCAAAGGUUCUUGCUACUUUUUUAGUUUCAGUGUCUGCUACAUACAACCCAUGCUUGUUUCAGAUAUCGGUGACACAUUAGAAAUCUUUUUUUCUUUUAGCAUGCACUCACUCCAAAUGACAAUACUUACCAUUGCCUUGGGCUACCCUAAAUUGUUUUGUUUGUAUUAUUCAUGAUGUUUUGCUUGUGAUAUUUAAUCUGAAAGGCUAGUUGGCUCUAUACAAGUAUAAGUUAGAACUCAAUUCUGCAUUUUAAUCUGAGCAGUCAUAGAGCCUAACAUCUUUACUGUACAAUAUUCAAAACCAUUUAAGUUACGUAUUACUGUGCUUUGAAGUGUUUUAAUAUUCAUGAGACUGAUUAAUAAUUGUGUUUUUCCUUUCAUUGGGAUACUAGUCAUUUUUGUUCAACACUAUCAACACAGUAAUGUGGAAAUUUAAGCCAACCUAUCUUUCAAUGGUAUUUCAACUAUUGGGAAGGAUAGAGAUAUGCAUUUAAGAUGACCUUCAUGUCAGGUAUUUUCUGGAUCUUUCAUUUAGAUUGCUUGGUCAUACGGAAUAUAUUUUGCAGAACUUUGGAUUCUUCCACUAAACACAACUUUUAACACCCCCAUGAUGAGUGCAUUAUGGUUUGCUAGAAGUUCUUGUCUUCUCACUCACUCUGGUUUAAAGUGAUUAUAGGCAGAAAAUGCUGGCUUUAUUAUAAGGAAUA